RNAcentral lists this ribosomal RNA (407 nucleotides) under uncultured bacterium. Its description in RNAcentral is "bacterial SSU rRNA". It matches the Rfam family "Bacterial small subunit ribosomal RNA", at positions 355 to 774 of the family's 1533-position model. The record is from RNAcentral.
UGGGGAAUAUUGCACAAUGGGCGCAAGCCUGAUGCAGCAACGCCGCGUGAGGGACGACGGCCUUCGGGUUGUAAACCUCUUUUGGCAGGGAAGAAGCGAAAGUGACGGUACCUGCAGAAAAAGCACCGGCUAACUACGUGCCAGCAGCCGCGGUGAUACGUAGGGUGCAAGCGUCGUCCGGAAUUAUUGGGCGUAAAGAGCUCGUAGGCGGUUUGUCGCGUCUGCUGUGAAAACCCGAGGCUCAACCUCGGGCCUGCAGUGGGUACGGGCAAACUAGAGUGCGGUAGGGGAGAUUGGAAUUCCUGGUGUAGCGGUGGAAUGCGCAGAUAUCAGGAGGAACACCGAUGGCGAAGGCAGAUCUCUGGGCCGUAACUGACGCUGAGGAGCGAAAGCAUGGGGAGCGAACA